RNAcentral lists this ribosomal RNA (467 nucleotides) under uncultured bacterium. RNAcentral's name for it is "partial 16S ribosomal RNA". It matches the Rfam family "Bacterial small subunit ribosomal RNA", at positions 28 to 507 of the family's 1533-position model. The record is from RNAcentral.
GACGAACGCUGGCGGCGUGCUUAACACAUGCAAGUCGAACGGAAAGGCUCCAGCUUGCUGGAGUACUCGAGUGGCGAACGGGUGAGUAACACGUGGGUAAUCUGCCCUGCACUCUGGGAUAAGCCUGGGAAACUGGGUCUAAUACUGGAUAUGACCUUUCUCCUUAUGGGGUUUGGUGGAAAGUUUUUCGGUGUAGGAUGAGCCCGCGGCCUAUCAGCUUGUUGGUGGGGUGAUGGCCUACCAAGGCGACGACGGGUAGCCGGCCUGAGAGGGUGAUCGGCCACAUUGGGACUGAGAUAUGGCCCAGACUCCUACGGGAGGCAGCAGUGGGGAAUAUUGCACAAUGGGCGGAAGCCUGAUGCAGCGACGCCGCGUGAGGGAUGACGGCCUUCGGGUUGUAAACCUCUUUCAGCAGGGACGAAGCGUAAGUGACGGUACCUGCAGAAGAAGCACCGGCUAACUAUGUG